RNAcentral lists this microRNA precursor (66 nucleotides) under Gadus morhua (Atlantic cod). Its description in RNAcentral is "microRNA gmo-mir-212 precursor (gmo-mir-212-1)". Its record names the gene gmo-mir-212-1. Lineage: Eukaryota; Metazoa; Chordata; Actinopteri; Gadiformes; Gadidae. The record is from miRBase by way of RNAcentral.
ACCUUGGCUUUAGACUGCUUACUGCUCCCCAGCUGACAGCCCAGUAACAGUCUACAGUCAUGGCUA